AGAGUUUGAUCCUGGCUCAGAAUCAACGCUGGCGGCGUGCCUAACACAUGCAAGUCGAACGCGAAAGUCCCGAAAGGGAUGAGUAGAGUGGCAAACGGGUGAGUAACACGUGGGUGACCUGCCCUCGAGCGGGGGAUAACGUCCCGAAAGGGACGCUAAUACCGCAUAACAUCCUGCCUUUGAAGAGGCGGUGAUCAAAGCUGGGGAUCGCAAGACCUAGCACUCGAAGAGGGGCCCGCGUCCGAUUAGCUAGUUGGUGGGGUAAUGGCCCACCAAGGCAACGAUCGGUAGCCGGCCUGAGAGGGCGGACGGCCACACUGGGACUGAGACACGGCCCAGACUCCUACGGGAGGCAGCAGUGGGGAAUUGUUCGCAAUGGGCGCAAGCCUGACGACGCAACGCCGCGUGGAGGAUGAAGACCUUCGGGUCGUAAACUCCUUUCGAUCGAGA
Molecule: ribosomal RNA, 450 nt
Filed under: uncultured bacterium
Lineage: Bacteria
Description: bacterial SSU rRNA
Rfam family: Bacterial small subunit ribosomal RNA
Source: RNAcentral